RNAcentral lists this long non-coding RNA (1253 nucleotides) under Marmota monax (woodchuck). Lineage: Eukaryota; Metazoa; Chordata; Mammalia; Rodentia; Sciuridae. The record is from RNAcentral.
GUUAUACAUGACAGUAGAAUGCAUUUAUGCACUUUGACAUAUCAUACAUAGAUAGGAUAUAAUUUCUCAUUUUUCUGAGUGUACAUGUUGUAGAAUUGUGUUGGUCAUGCAGUCGCAUAUAUACAUAAAGGAAUAAUGUCUGUUUCGUUCUACUAUCCUUAUCCCCACAUCCUCUCCCAUCCCAUCCCCUCCCUUCACUUUCCUCUACCUAAUCUAAGGUAACUCUAUUCUUCUCUAGUGCCCUCCCCUUAUUGUGAAUUAGCAUCCACAUAUUAGAGAAAACAUUCUGUCUUUGGUUUUUUGGAAUUGGCUUUUUUCGCAUAGCAUGAUAGCCUCCAACUCCAUUCAUACUGGUGAAUUCCAUAAUUUCAUUCUUCUUUAAAACUGGGUAAUAUUCCAUUAACUAUAUAUACCACAUUUUCUUUAUUCAUUUAUCUAUUGAAGGACACCUAGGUUGGUUCCUUAGUUUAACUAUUUGUGAAUUGAGCUGCUGUAAACAUUGGCAUGGCUGCAACACUGUAGUAUGCUACUUUUAAGUCUUUGGGGUAUACACCAAGGAGUGGGAUAGCUGGGUCAAAUGGUGGUUCCAUUCCAAAUUUUCUAAGGAAUCUCCAUACUGUUUUCCAGAUUGGUUGCACCAAUUUGCAGUCCCACCAGCAAUGUAUGAGUGUGCCUUUUUCCCCCACAUCCUCUAAUUAGAUCAUCCUAGACCCCGAGGACACUAUUACUUGUUUGGGUGUUUCCAUCUGGAAUUGCUGCUGAGACAUUCAUAGCAUUCUAGAUAUAGUUCUGAUUCUCUUACCACUACAUGAUGCUUUUUAGGUACCUAAGAACUUACAUAUUAAGGUUCAUAUUAUUUUAUUAUAAAUUAUUGUCCUUUUUCCCCUUGAAUAUAAACAGGAUACUUUACUGAUUUUUUUAAAUGUAUGUAAGUUUUUUAUGCUUGUAAGUUUUAUGCUUUUUAGUUCAAGACAGCUGUAUCUCUUAGCCAUUGCUGCAAAAGAAACAACCACACAACUUUGUAGUUUAAUACAACCACAAUUUAUGUAGUGUACAAUUCUGUGGAUUGGUGAUUUAAACUUGGGCCUCCUCUUUUUUGGAAGGGUUGGGUGGUAGCAGGGAUUGAACUCAGGGGCCCUUGACCACUGUGCCAUCUCCCCAGCCUUAUUUUGUAUUUUAUUUAGAGACAGGGUCUCACUGAGUUGCUCAGCACCUUGCUUUUGCUGAGUCUGGCUUUGAACUCACAAUCUCCU